CAGAAACACUACUGACGUAACUAUGUGUAACCGGCCCGCAGUAUCAGCUUGUACGUGAGGUGGGAGCUAUAUAAACGUAGUGUGGCACACAAGAAGACGAGUAGUUGGGAAGAGAACAGAAUGCUAACCUGUAAGAUACUGGUCGUAGCCGCAGUGGCGCUGAUGCUGGCAUCGCCAGCAGAGAUGUCGCCUACCCCUGCACCGGCAGAGGUCAGCACAGUGUGCCGCUACGUCUGCCGGAAGGUGAACGAGACGCAGUGCGAGGAGCGCGGCGGACGGGUGGUCACCCCCAGCCAGCCGUGCCACUGCGCUUGCUGCCCCUACUGCUCUGCUGACAGGGCUAAGUGAGGGGCGCCGUCGCCCCACUCUCCUGCGGAACAGCCAACGCACCUGCAAGCUCAGCACCACGCAUACCGCUCUAGCACAGUGUGUUUCACCAAACAUGUAAUUUAACAAAUGAAAAUUAAAAAUUUCAACAACA
Schistocerca piceifrons (Central American locust) is the source of this 481-nucleotide long non-coding RNA. RefSeq lists it as uncharacterized. The transcript is spliced from 2 exons. NCBI's taxonomy places the organism in Eukaryota, Metazoa, Arthropoda, Insecta, Orthoptera, Acrididae. The record is from RefSeq and is a predicted model, not a curated record.